This 253-nucleotide ribosomal RNA is filed under the name uncultured bacterium. RNAcentral's name for it is "partial 16S ribosomal RNA". It matches the Rfam family "Bacterial small subunit ribosomal RNA", at positions 524 to 776 of the family's 1533-position model. The record is from RNAcentral.
UACGUAGGGGGCGAGCGUUGUCCGGAAUCAUUGGGCGUAAAGCGCGUGUAGGCGGCUCGGUAAGUCUGCUGUGAAAGUCCAGGGCUCAACCCUGGGAUGCCGGUGGAUACUGUCGAGCUCGAGUCCGGAAGAGGCGAGUGGAAUUCCUGGUGUAGCGGUGAAAUGCGCAGAUAUCAGGAGGAACACCAAUGGCGAAGGCAGCUCGCUGGGACGUUACUGACGCUGAGACGCGAAAGCGUGGGGAGCAAACAGG